AACGAACGCUGGCGGCAUGCCUAACACAUGCAAGUCGAACGGUAAGGCCCCUUCGGGGGUACACGAGUGGCGAACGGGUGAGUAACACGUGGGUAACCUGCCCUUCACUGGGGGACAACCGAGGGAAACCUCGGCUAAUACCGCAUAAUGUGCUUUCUCAUAAGUGAAAGCACCAAAACUCCGGUGGUGAAGGAUGGGCCCGCGGCAGAUUAGCUAGUUGGUGGGUAAAGGCCUACCAAGGCAACGAUCUGUAGCUGGUUUGAGAGGACGAUCAGCCACACUGGGACUGAGACACGGCCCAG
RNAcentral lists this ribosomal RNA (302 nucleotides) under uncultured bacterium. RNAcentral describes it as "bacterial SSU rRNA". It matches the Rfam family "Bacterial small subunit ribosomal RNA", at positions 29 to 334 of the family's 1533-position model. The record is from RNAcentral.